CCUACGGGAGGCAGCAGUGGGGAAUAUUGGGCAAUGGGCGAGAGUCUGAACCAGCCAAGUAGCGUGAAGGAUGACUGCCCUAUGGGUUGUAAACUUCUUUUAUAUGGGAAUAAAAUGUUCCACGUGUGGGAUUUUGUAUGUACCAUAUGAAUAAGGAUCGGCUAACUCCGUGCCAGCAGCCGCGGUAAUACGGAGGAUCCGCGCGUUAUCCGGAUUUAUUGGGUUUAAAGGGAGCGUAGGUGGAAUGGUAAGUCAGUCGUGAAAGUUUGCGGCUCAACCGUAGAAUUGCAGUUGAAACUGGCAGUCUGGAGUGCAGUAGAGGUGAGCGGAAUUCGUGGUGUAGCGGUGAAAUGCUUAGAUAUCACGAAGAACUCCGAUUGCGAAGGCAGUUCACUGGACUGCAACUGACACUGAGGCUCGAAAGUGUGGGUAUCAAACAGGAUUAGAUACCCCAGUAGUC
This 460-nucleotide ribosomal RNA is filed under the name uncultured bacterium. RNAcentral's name for it is "partial 16S ribosomal RNA". It matches the Rfam family "Bacterial small subunit ribosomal RNA", at positions 338 to 795 of the family's 1533-position model. The record is from RNAcentral.